Long non-coding RNA from Ornithodoros turicata, 3110 nucleotides. RefSeq lists it as uncharacterized. The transcript is spliced from 7 exons. Lineage: Eukaryota; Metazoa; Arthropoda; Arachnida; Ixodida; Argasidae. The record is from RefSeq and is a predicted model, not a curated record.
AUGCGCCACUGCGGAGAAAGACGAAGAAGAAGAAGAAGUAGAAGAAGCUCCGAGGACGAAGAAGAAGAAGGUGCUUUCGCUGUGGCGGUUUCGUAACAUCGGGGGUGUCUGCCACGUAUUAGAAGAGCCCAAUGAAAAAUUACGACACGUGGUACAGUUGGCACGAGCCUAAGCCCCAGAAAAUGGAAGCCAACUUUCCGGGUUUGCAAUGCACUGAUAAUCCUGGCACAACUCCAAUGCACACAUGCCACGUGUUAUGCAAGCUCCUUGUUGAACAUGCAUGACGCCUGAAUGUGCAUGGCGCGUGGGAUAAGGCCACCGUCGGAACAAGAGGCACAGCAAGACAUAGCUGCACGUGGCACGACCAGACAACAAGAGGGCACUCCACUGCUGACGUGGCAAGCCUGUUAUUGAGCGCUUGCUUAAUUCUUCGAUGAAUUUAGACUUCUGCGGCUGAAAGUUCAUUCUCAGCCACCAUCAUAAUGAUGCCAAAGAGUGCCAUGACUAGUGCGUAGUCACUGAUCCUUUUCCGCUUCUCAAAGAGAGCCUUACGUCGACCGAGCCGGUACCCAACAGAGGGCUUAUGAAAGCGACUUCCUCCACCUGUGCUAGAUCCUCCUGCCGAAUGGCCCUUCAGGAAGCGUCGCCCGUCGUCGCCCUGACGCUCGGCAUGCACCCCGACGAGCGCGAUGCCUGCGCCGUCGCUGUCGCUCGACUGCUGCUGUUGGGCCUGCUGCUUCAUGGCCGCUGGGAUGGACAGCGUCGAGGUGGGCUUGCGCAAGUGCUUGAAGUGGCGCAAAGCCCCAUUGAUGCGCAUCGAGUCGGCCGCGAUUUCGGCGAUCUCGUUGUCGCGGUGCAGCUGGCGUAGGGACGUCGUCAGCGGCGCCGGACCACCACCGCCGCCGCCGCCGCUGCCCUCGCAGCGCACGCUCUCGCGGGACACCGUCCGCGUCAAGAACGAAUGCUCCAGCCGCGCGCUCAGUCCCAGCCGCGUGUGCGGCGUCCAGAGGUGAGGGCGCUUCGGCGCCGGUCCCGAAGUCGCCCCCACCGCAGCGCCAUCUGCGACUCCGCCUUCCGGAACAUCGCUGCUGCCGGAGGCGCUCCAGACGGACGCUUGACGAACCUCGUCCUCACCGCCGCCCCCGACGCCUCCAAGACUCGGGGCGUGCACUUGAAUCUGAGGUCCAAUCUCCGGACAGGAGCGGUAGUUCGGCGGCGCUGGGGGUUCGAGCUGUUUGAACUCGACGAGCGGCAGAGCACGCUCGGGCUCCGAGUGCAUGCGCCCCAGCACCAGAGUCGGCUUGCUGCUCGACGGGAAGCACGCGGCGGGCCAGUCAUUCGAGACCGGAUGGAGUCCUGGUGGGAUGAUCUCUUCGGCAGCGGGUGUCACCAUCACCAGUGACAUGGUGCGUCAGGUGAAGAUGACCCAACGCAGCCACAUGCGCCUUCAGCCGAUGUCCAAGGGGCAGCUGGGAAGACCGCGGCGCGCGUGCCCACCAGCCGGACACUCCGAGGUCAUCUGCGUGUAAGGAAACAAUGGAAUUUCGACGUGGGUCCCAGCUUCAGAUACAUGUGAGCGCUCUCACCUUCCAGCGUUCCCAACUCACCUGAGAAGAUACCCUGGUACUUCCCAAGCAUGGCAUCAAGGCGAACUGGUAGACACUACUGCCGGGCUGCCCGCAGCUUUCCAGGUGAUUUAGGCCGCAGAUGGACUCGCACCCAACCUAGUGCGACGCCUAGGAUAGAGCCUUCGAGCCUUUUCUAUUGCAUCUCUAACGCUGUGUAACAGAGCGAAAGCCAGCGUCAUAAUGAAGGCCGGUUUCCUGCCUUAGACAACACAAGCAAGCGACGCUACAGUGAUGUCAACAACGUGAACAAGAAACAUCGGCUCACCUGCUCUCCUAUACGUUCGCUUGCGCCCGUCGAGCACCAAACACACACGCGCGACACGAGAAGAAAGCUUCUGUCUCUGACGGUCGAAGACAGAGGCACACACACACACUGCCAAGAAUGCACUGAGAACGGAAUCAGGCAAUGCAAUGCCCACGGCGUUCUGUCUCCAAAACACCUUACUCACGGUGGCACACACAAGCUACGCUCGGUGCCGUCGUCUGCAAAAAUACUUCAUCCCGGCUGUGAUUCGAGCGUCAUCAUGCAUUGCAGACGACACGGCAGCCCAGAAAUUAGAGAUCGAUUCAGCCGAAGUCUACAAAAAUCGAUGCAAAGUCGCGUUUUCGAAAACCAAGUUCACCCUUUAGAAGCGAAACCCAGGUUUGAAGUCGGGCGAAAACUUUCACCUCAUCCGUAUGAACAUCGUCAUCGUCUGAGCGGAUGAAACAGUCGACCGGAAAAGCCCUCAACCGAAUGGGUGCAGCUCAUUUUACAAGCCAAAGGGGAGAAGGGUCGUUGUCGAGGUGAUGCGCGAGUCGUUUCCCUUCAAAAAUAGAUGGCGUUCAUUUCUCCGAGUUCGGCACUGAUAGCAGUGUCGCCUGCUUAUUGGAAAUGACGCAGCGUGGCCUUCAGACGCUGGACUGAUAAGGGAAGCAGCGAGCAAAAAGAAGACUACGAAAUUUUAAUUUUCCUGACAAUGUGCUAGGGAGACGACUAUGCAAGCUUACUGUUGUGUUCUCUUGAGAAAGGCAGAGCAUGCUGGAUGCAACGCAAAAAAAGGGGAGAGGGAGAAACAUAAAGUGACUUUCUGUAGCGACAGUGCUAUCAUAUUUUUCUUUCUUCUCUUUUUCAGUUUCCUUCCUCAAUUUCUACCGUAUCUGAGAACCAAUAUUAGAAGACUAAAGCAUAAACCAGCCCAUUUGAAGCAAGUUCAUUAUUUGAUUUUCGGCAGUUUGGGUCAUUGUGGCUAAAGUGGCUUUUGCGCCAUAAAAGAAACUCAAUAUCGGCAUACUUUGUCACCCCGUAUCAUGCACAAGAUCAAAGCGAAAGAACUCCCGAAGCUCCCGUCCCACGCUGUAGCUUUCGAUGGUUUAUAAAGUAGGCUUCCUUGCACGCCAAUGUGCAACAGGAGAAGCACGCUUUAAAGGUUACACCCAUUAAACGGAUGAAAUGCUUGCGGUUUCAACGACUCUCACGAAAUAAAAAUAUAACAGAGUCUA